RNAcentral lists this ribosomal RNA (594 nucleotides) under Aspergillus flavus. Its description in RNAcentral is "eukaryotic LSU rRNA". The stretch from base 212 to 365 matches the Rfam family "5.8S ribosomal RNA". The record is from RNAcentral. Lineage: Eukaryota; Fungi; Ascomycota; Eurotiomycetes; Eurotiales; Aspergillaceae.
UCCGUAGUGAACCUGCGGAAGGAUCAUUACCGAGUGUAGGGUUCCUAGCGAGCCCAACCUCCCACCCGUGUUUACUGUACCUUAGUUGCUUCGGCGGGCCCGCCAUUCAUGGCCGCCGGGGGCUCUCAGCCCCGGGCCCGCGCCCGCCGGAGACACCACGAACUCUGUCUGAUCUAGUGAAGUCUGAGUUGAUUGUAUCGCAAUCAGUUAAAACUUUCAACAAUGGAUCUCUUGGUUCCGGCAUCGAUGAAGAACGCAGCGAAAUGCGAUAACUAGUGUGAAUUGCAGAAUUCCGUGAAUCAUCGAGUCUUUGAACGCACAUUGCGCCCCCUGGUAUUCCGGGGGGCAUGCCUGUCCGAGCGUCAUUGCUGCCCAUCAAGCACGGCUUGUGUGUUGGGUCGUCGUCCCCUCUCCGGGGGGGACGGGCCCCAAAGGCAGCGGCGGCACCGCGUCCGAUCCUCGAGCGUAUGGGGCUUUGUCACCCGCUCUGUAGGCCCGGCCGGCGCUUGCCGAACGCAAAUCAAUCUUUUUCCAGGUUGACCUCGGAUCAGGUAGGGAUACCCGCUGAGCUUAAGCAUAUCAAUAAGCGGAGGA